GGCAAGUGGGAUUAUGUCAAGAACUGAACCAAAUCUCCUCCUGUGACCAAAAGCAAUAAUGCCCUUUAUCAGACAACAAAACUGGUAUGCACUAGUUUAUGGCCAGCAACAAUUAUGGUUUUCCCAUCAAGAUCAGCAGCUUCACAGCAGAAAUCAUAGAGGUCAUCAAAGAACUGGGCUUCAUCAACGCCGAUCACAUCCACCUAUCACAGAAAGGAACUGAUUAUGGGGCAGGAAAUAUGCUAUAAAGCCCAGAAUCCGUAGAUUGCACAAGAGAGCAGCAGGGUAUAAAUUCACAUGAUCCAAUACAGAAUUGCAGUUAAUUCUUGAAGAAAACAAAAAAGGUGAAAGGGAACACAAAAAUCACCUUUUCAUAGGCAUCGGAUCCGAAUCUAUCCUUGAAAGACGUUAAAUCAGGCAACGCCAUACAUGGGAAUUUGGUGCCGUCGUGCGUGACCACUGCAUCGAUUGCAUAUCUUGUAUCUAUGCUCGACUUUAUCACCACAACGCUUCUGCUUCCAAUUUCAAGUUUCAAUACAACACACAAUUACAGGAACAGAAUAUUAACUUUUAGUAACUGUUUGAUGUGGAAAUUGAUG
Molecule: long non-coding RNA, 599 nt
Organism: Ipomoea nil (Japanese morning glory)
Lineage: Eukaryota; Viridiplantae; Streptophyta; Magnoliopsida; Solanales; Convolvulaceae
Exons: 2
Source: RefSeq, a predicted model, not a curated record